Molecule: ribosomal RNA, 302 nt
Filed under: uncultured bacterium
Lineage: Bacteria
Description: bacterial SSU rRNA
Rfam family: Bacterial small subunit ribosomal RNA
Source: RNAcentral
GAGGACAGUGGAACUCCAUGUGUAGCGGUGAAAUGCGUAGAUAUAUGGAAGAACACCAGUGGCGAAGGCGGCUGUCUGGACCGUAACUGACGCUGAGGCUCGAAAGUAUGGGUAGCAAACGGGAUUAGAUACCCUGGUAGUCCAUACCGUAAACGAUGAAUGCUAAGUGUUGGAAGGUUUCCGCCCUUCAGUGCUGCAGCUAACGCAUUAAGCAUUCCGCCUGAGGAGUACGGCCGCAAGGCUGAAACUUAAAGGAAUUGACGGGGACCCGCACAAGCGGUGGAGCAUGUGGUUUAAUUCGA